UACGCUUCUCGCCUUUGCUCAGAUCAAGUUAAGUAUCUUUCUUAUCAGUUUAAUAUCUGAUACGUCCCCAUCGGGGGAGCUACAUUUAAUGAUUUUCGAACAGGAGUCGGAAAAUGCUUGCCUCCGUCCGCUCCACGCAUCGAGCCCGGAUGCAUACCUC
RNAcentral lists this small nuclear RNA (160 nucleotides) under Oncorhynchus tshawytscha (Chinook salmon). RNAcentral describes it as "U2 spliceosomal RNA". It matches the Rfam family "U2 spliceosomal RNA". Rfam says of the family: U2 is a small nuclear RNA (snRNA) component of the spliceosome (involved in pre-mRNA splicing). The record is from Rfam by way of RNAcentral. Lineage: Eukaryota; Metazoa; Chordata; Actinopteri; Salmoniformes; Salmonidae.